AUUGAACGCUGGCGGCAGGCCUAACACAUGCAAGUCGAGCGAGCGGCGGACGGGUGAGUCAUGUAUGGGGAUCUGCCCGAUAGAGGGGGAUAACUACUGGAAACGGUAGCUAAUACCGCAUACCAUCAGAUGAACCCAUAUGGGAUUAGCUUGUAGGUGAGGUAACGCCUCACCUAGGCGAAGAUCCCUAGCUGGUCUGAGAGGAUGAUCGGCCAAACGGGGACGGAGACACGGCCCAGACUCCUACGGGAGGCAGCAGUGGGGAAUAUUGCACAAGGGGCGCAGGCCGGAUGCAGCCAUGCCGCGUGGAUGAAGAAGGCGUUCGGGUUGUAAAGUACUUUCAGUCGGGAGGCGUUACCGACAGAAGAAGCACCGGCUAACUCCGUGCCAGCAGCCGCGGUAAUAC
RNAcentral lists this ribosomal RNA (406 nucleotides) under uncultured bacterium. RNAcentral's name for it is "partial 16S ribosomal RNA". It matches the Rfam family "Bacterial small subunit ribosomal RNA", at positions 29 to 526 of the family's 1533-position model. The record is from RNAcentral.